This 393-nucleotide ribosomal RNA is filed under the name uncultured bacterium. RNAcentral's name for it is "partial 16S ribosomal RNA". It matches the Rfam family "Bacterial small subunit ribosomal RNA", at positions 523 to 918 of the family's 1533-position model. The record is from RNAcentral.
AUACGGAGGAUCCGAGCGUUAUCCGGAUUUAUUGGGUUUAAAGGGUGCGCAGGCGGGAGAUUAAGUCGGCGGUGAAAUUUUGCAGCUCAACUGGAAAAGGGCCUUCGAAACCGGUUUCCUUUAGGGUAGAUGAAGUAGGCGGGAUUUGUGGUGUAGCGGUGAAAUGCAUAGAUAUCACGAGGAACUCCGAUUGCGCAGGCAGCUUACUAAACUACUACUGACGCUCAGGCACGAAGGCGUGGGGAUCAAACAGGAUUAGACACCCUGGUAGUCCACGCAGUAAACGAUGAUUACUAGCUGUUUGCAAUACAAUGUAAGCGGCUGAGCGAAAGCGUUAAGUAAUCCACCUGGGGAGUACGUUCGCAAGAAUGAAACUCAAAGGAAUUGGCGGGG